UUACGGCCACAUCACGUUGAAACAUCGGUUCCCGUACGAUCACCGAAGUUAAGCCAUGUCGAACCUGGUCAGUAUCUAAAUGGGUGACCGAUUGGGGAUAUCAACUGCUG
Molecule: ribosomal RNA, 110 nt
Filed under: Acanthosepion pharaonis
Lineage: Eukaryota; Metazoa; Mollusca; Cephalopoda; Sepiida; Sepiidae
Source: RNAcentral